Molecule: ribosomal RNA, 273 nt
Filed under: uncultured prokaryote
Description: partial 16S ribosomal RNA
Rfam family: Bacterial small subunit ribosomal RNA
Source: RNAcentral
CGGAGGAUCCGAGCGUUAUCCGGAUUUAUUGGGUUUAAAGGGUGCGCAGGCGGGGGAUUAAGUCGGCGGUGAAAUUUUGCAGCUCAACUGUAAAAGUGCCUUCGAAACUGGUUUCCUUGAGUGUAGAUGAAGUAGGCGGAAUUUGUGGUGUAGCGGUGAAAUGCAUAGAUAUCACGAGGAACUCCGAUUACGCAGGCAGCUUACUAAACUACUACUGACGCUCAGGCACGAAGGCGUGGGGAUCAAACAGGAUUAGAUACCCUGGUAGUCCCU